Long non-coding RNA from Aethina tumida (small hive beetle), 1029 nucleotides. RefSeq lists it as uncharacterized. The record is from RefSeq and is a predicted model, not a curated record. NCBI's taxonomy places the organism in Eukaryota, Metazoa, Arthropoda, Insecta, Coleoptera, Nitidulidae. The transcript is spliced from 3 exons.
ACCACGGGGUUAGUCGGGGACCUUGGUUAAUUUUCCACGUUUUUCUUCGCCAUCCCCUGGGAUACUGAUUGUAUAACGUGUGCUAUAUUUGUCCUGGCGACAGUGAAUGUUCCUGUUUAUGUAUUUUCUUGUUUGCAUUUUAAACAUUGUAGUUUAAAACUGAAGAAAACCAAGGACCACGUGUUGAUGCAUAAAAGUAUAGUGUCUAAAAGUCGUGUUUUCUUCGAAGCCACCCCAUGUGAAAUCUCCAGGCACCCUGAAUUAUAAAUACAGGAGGAUUCCACGUAACAUAAAUUGUUUUAGUUCAUCUUAAUUUGUCAAUUUGAAUAUGUAAAGUUAGUAAUAAUUUUAGGCGACGAUGACAAAUAUAUAUCUGUUAAACUAGAGGUUUUAAAAAAGAAUUUCUAGAAGCGAUGCCAUAAUGCUGUGUUCUUGAAAUUUAUGCAAGCUACGAAUUGAAGUAGUGGACAAUGAAACAAUGGUAGCUACCAGAAUGUUGGUUUAGUUCUCUCAGGACAAAUGGCCGGAACAGAAGCGUGCCUCAACGAAGCACACCCCUAGCACACCCACACACCAAAUCUCAAUCGAAACGGGCCACAAACAACGACGCUAUCCGCAACUCGGUGCCAAAAGGGCCGUGGCUGAAACCGACGCGCGCCUCAACGAGCCGCUCGCAAAUGACGCCUGUAACCAAAGUUGCAACCGAAUCCGCCGAACAACAACAAAGAUAGGUACCGGACGACGCCAAAAGGGCCUUACCCAAUACGGGUGUGCGCCUCAGUUGCGACAUACCCCACUCACUCCAAAUUCACCCACACGAGUCGAAAAGGCCUUCAACGGCAGGAUUCUAUCGAUCCUGCAAUAGAUACGGCACAGCCGCCGAAAGACUUGAACAAUAUGCACAAAUGCCUCGGCAAGCUCGGUAGCGCAGUGGUCAAGCGACCAGUCGCCGGAAAUUUGAAAAUCUGUAAUAUCGAAUGUGUUGUUAAAUUUUUUUAAGCAUUAUGACAAUAAACAUUAUUAUUAUUA